UUUUGUUUUGGUGUUUGAACAGACUUCACCGCCCACACAGGGUCAUUUUCAAACUCAUUAUAUGCCACUGGCAGGCCAGCCCAGCAAGAGAUAUGUAUGGAGUUAAUUUAUCAAGCAAAACACACAACUUAAACCAAUUUAUUUGCACUGUUUUUCCUGUUUGUGUCUUUCAAACACGAGAUGUGGGAUUCAUGUUGUUUCCGGGUCUUCAGACUAAAACACAGCAUAGCUAAAACAGAGCUGAUUUAGAAACAGCGAAAAAGAAAAGGGACAAUUGCCAGGAACACAACAGAAUUUAAACUGCCCGGAGGGCUGAAUUUACAACUUGCUUACAAUUUGCUUAGUAAAGCAAAUAUUUUGCUGGAAUAUAACAUAGACUCUUGCAGUACGGUCACGUAAAUAGGCCUGAAUGAAAUAGCUUAAAAGUGUUAAUUGUAAAACAUUUGCGCGUGUGAAACGCAGUGAUUUUCAACGAAAGAGGUAAGUG
This is a non-coding RNA of Paramuricea clavata, 487 nucleotides long. NCBI's taxonomy places the organism in Eukaryota, Metazoa, Cnidaria, Anthozoa, Malacalcyonacea, Plexauridae. The record is from the annotation of a GenBank genome assembly.